AACGAACGCUGGCGGCGUGCUUAACACAUGCAAGUCGAACGGUGAAGCUCCAGCUUGCUGGAGUGGAUCAGUGGCGAACGGGUGAGUAACACGUGAGCAACCUGCCCCUGACUCUGGAAUAAGCGCUGGAAACGGCGUCUAAUACUGGAUACGAGAAGGGUCCGCAUGGGCACUUUCUGGAAAGUUUUUCGGUUGGGGAUGGGCUCGCGGCCUAUCAGCUUGUUGGUGAGGUAAUGGCUCACCAAGGCGACGACGGGUAGCCGGCCUGAGAGGGCGACCGGCCACACUGGGACUGAGACACGGCCCAGACUCCUACGGGAGGCAGCAGUGGGGAAUAUUGCACAAUGGGCGAAAGCCUGAUGCAGCGACGCCGCGUGAGGGAUGACGGCCUUCGGGUUGUAAACCUCUUUCAGCAGGGAAGAAGCGAAAGUGACGGUACCUGCAGAAGAAGCACCGGCUAACUACGUG
Molecule: ribosomal RNA, 468 nt
Filed under: uncultured bacterium
Lineage: Bacteria
Description: partial 16S ribosomal RNA
Rfam family: Bacterial small subunit ribosomal RNA
Source: RNAcentral